UCCCGGGUUCAUCCUGCCUCAGCCUUCUGAGUAGCUGGGACUACAGGCGCACGCUGCCACGCCCGGCCACAUUUUUUUUUUUUUUGUAUUUUAGUAGAGAUGGGGUUUCACCGUGUUGCCCAGGCCCGUCUCGAACUCCUGAGCUCAGGCAGUCCUCCCGCCUCGGCCUCCCAAAGUGCUAGGAUUACCGGAGCACCCGGCCAGCCUGCCUCCUUUCUUCGAGUAGAUGGAUUACGUCAUGGCAAGGCUGCUUUCCUCAUUACAUUCUGACCACUUUGAGUAGAAACUACUUUGCUUUAAGAUUGUUACUGCUUCUGUUUUCACUGUAAUGUGUUUGAUAGGUGAAAGCAAUCACCUGAGGGUAACCAAGUGGCUGUUUUUAGGAAGUGGAGAGACUGAUUUCGGACCUCAGCUCCAGAACCUCGAUAAGAAGCUCUUCACGGUGGUCGCCUGGGAUCCUCGAGGCUAUGGACAUUCCAGGCCCCCAGAUCGCGAUUUCCCAGCAGACUUUUUUGAAAGGGAUGCGAAAGAUGCUGUUGAUUUGAUGAAGGCGCUGAAGUUUAAGAAGGUUUCUCUGCUGGGGUGGAGUGAUGGGGGCAUAACUGCACUCGUUGCUGCUGCAAAAUAUCCGUCUUACAUCCACAAGAUGGUGAUCUGGGGUGCCAACGCCUACGUCACUGACGAAGACAGCAUGAUAUACGAGGGCAUCCGAGAUGUUUCUAAAUGGAGUGAGAGAACAAGAAAGCCUCUAGAAGCCCUCUAUGGAUGAAGUCUCACUCUGUCACUAGGCUGGAAUGCAAUGGCAUGAUCUCAGCUCACUGCAAUCUCUGCCUCCUGGGUUCAAGCGAUUCCUCUGCCUCAGCCUCCCAAGUAGCUGGGACUACAGGCGUGCACCACCACGCAGGUAACAUCUGCCGGCACCUGCUGCCCCGGGUCCAGUGCCCCACCUUGAUUGUGCACGGUGAGAAGGAUCCUCUGGUCCCGCAGUUUCAUGCUGACUUCAUUCAUGAGCACGUCAAAGGUUCACGGCUGCAUUUGAUGCCAGAAGGCAAACACAAUCUGCACUUGCGUUUU
Molecule: small RNA, 1074 nt
Filed under: Pongo abelii (Sumatran orangutan)
Lineage: Eukaryota; Metazoa; Chordata; Mammalia; Primates; Hominidae
Description: retained intron
Source: RNAcentral